UGCCCCCCCCUUAUUCUAGUUUAGGGCCCCCACGCGCCAUUCAGGUGUGGGGGCCGGGGGGGGGGCAAUAGUUCCCCCUUCAGGUUAGAAGUCCCCACUCGCGUGGCACGAGUGGGGGCUCAGGAGGGGACACG
Pelobates fuscus (common spadefoot toad) is the source of this 134-nucleotide non-coding RNA. RefSeq annotates it as small Cajal body-specific RNA 11. The transcript has a single exon. Lineage: Eukaryota; Metazoa; Chordata; Amphibia; Anura; Pelobatidae. The record is from RefSeq and is a predicted model, not a curated record.